AUGAAUUUACUAUCCUUCAAUAUUAGGGGGUGCGGUAUUUCGAUGAAGAGAAGAAGAUUGAAUCAAAUAAUAGCAAAUGGUCAAGUAGAUAUGGCUUUUCUACAGGAAACCAAGAUGCAACAUAUGGAAGAUAAAUUUGUAAGGAGCUUAUGGGGAAAUGAUGAUGUUGAAUGGUCGGCUAAAAACUCUGAAGGAGCAUCCAAAGGUAUCUUAAAAAUGUGGAAGAAAGGUUCAAUUGCACCUCUGUACAUUUUCCAAACUGAAGGCUCUUUAGUUUUAUACGCUAAUGUGAAAGGACAGACAUGCUACUUCAUAAAUGUUUAUUCUUCAUGUUCUUUAGAGAAGAAAAAAGUCUUGUGGGUGGAGUUAGAAAAUCCGAAGGAUCGGUAUAGAGAAGGUUGGUGGUGUAUAUGA
Vicia faba (fava bean) is the source of this 414-nucleotide non-coding RNA. The record is from the annotation of a GenBank genome assembly. Lineage: Eukaryota; Viridiplantae; Streptophyta; Magnoliopsida; Fabales; Fabaceae.